GCAGACUGUUGCCAAAAGUCUUUUGGCCUUGGAUUUGGAUGCAUGGAGCAGGCUUUACAAGGCAGUGUGUCACUUCCCCCAGCCCACUCUGCAGAAUGAAGGGACCCAUUUCAUAUUCAGAAGCUAGGACGACAGGAAUAACCAAUCAGAUUUAUACUGUACUUUUCCCAUUUCCAGUGGUUGCAGCAAUGGAACGACUCACAUUUCCCCUCUAACAUUCUACUUGGACAUAGUUGAUGAGAGGGCAGGUCAAUCUGCUGCAGGUAGAGGGAACUACAAGAGCUGAAUCUUCUAGCUGUAAGCCUAAACAACAAGGCUUUAUCAUUAAAUGUUUAUG
Hemicordylus capensis (graceful crag lizard) is the source of this 337-nucleotide long non-coding RNA. RefSeq lists it as uncharacterized. The record is from RefSeq and is a predicted model, not a curated record. The transcript has 3 exons. Lineage: Eukaryota; Metazoa; Chordata; Lepidosauria; Squamata; Cordylidae.